CAACAAGGACGCAUCAUGUCAGCUAUCAAUGCAAUUCCCCCCGAAAAGCUCUCCCGUUUGAUCGGCACGCCCGCGUGCCCCAUUCUCGUCGACGUCAGGACUGACGAGGACUUCAAGGCUGAUCCGCAUCUGAUACCCGGCGCAAGGCGGAGCGAUUAUGCGCAAGCCGCCGCGUGGGCAUCGGCAUUGUCCGGCCAGGCCGUCGUGGCAAUUUGCAAGAG
Molecule: unclassified non-coding RNA, 221 nt
Filed under: Hevea brasiliensis (rubber tree)
Lineage: Eukaryota; Viridiplantae; Streptophyta; Magnoliopsida; Malpighiales; Euphorbiaceae
Source: RNAcentral